CACUGGGACUGAGACACGGCCCAGACUCCUACGGGAGGGAGCAGUGGGGAAUUUUGGACAAUGGGGGAAACCCUGAUCCAGCAAUGCCGCGUCUGUGAAGAAGGCCUUCGGGUUGUAAAGCACUUUUGUCCGGAAAGAAAACUUCUGCCCUAAUACGGCGGGAGGAUGACGGUACCGGAAGAAUAAGCACCGGCUAACUACGUGCCAGCAGCCCCGGUAAUACAUAGGGUGCGAGCGUUAAUCGGAAUUACUGGGCGUAAAGCGUGCGCAGGCGGUUCGUUAAGACAGAUGUGAAAUCCCCGGGCUUACCCUGGGAACUGCAUUUGUGACUGGCGAGCUAGAGUAUGGCAGAGGCGGGUAGAAUUCCACGUGUAGCAGUGAAAUGGGUAGAGAUGUGGAGGAAUACCGAUGGCGAAGGCAGCCCCCUGGGCCAAUACUGACGCUCAUGCACGAAAGCGUGGGGAGCAAACAGGAUUAGAUACCCUGGUAGUCCACGCCCUAAACGAUGUCAACUAGUUGUUGGGGAUUCAUUUCCUUAGUAACGUAGCUAACGCGUGAAGUUGACCCCCUGGGGAGUACGGUCGCAAGAUUAAAACUCAAAGGAAUUGACGGGGACCCGCACAGGCGGUGGAUGAUGUGGAUUAAUUCGAUGCAAGGCGAAAAACCCUACCUACCCUUGACAUGGUCGGAACCCUGCUGAAAGGUGGGGGUGCUCGAGAGAGAACCGAUACACAGGUGCUUC
Molecule: ribosomal RNA, 742 nt
Filed under: uncultured Burkholderia sp.
Lineage: Bacteria; Pseudomonadati; Pseudomonadota; Betaproteobacteria; Burkholderiales; Burkholderiaceae
Description: bacterial SSU rRNA
Rfam family: Bacterial small subunit ribosomal RNA
Source: RNAcentral